UUUGGGCCACCUCCCAUCCGUGUCUAUUAUACCCUGUUGCUUCGGCGGGCCCGCCGCUUGUCGGCCGCCGGGGGGGCGCCUUUGCCCCCCGGGCCCGUGCCCGCCGGAGACCCCAACACGAACACUGUCUGAAAGCGUGCAGUCUGAGUUGAUUGAAUGCAAUCAGUUAAAACUUUCAACAAUGGAUCUCUUGGUUCCGGCAUCGAUGAAAAACGCAGCGAAAUGCGAUAACUAAUGUGAAUUGCAGAAUUCAGUGAAUCAUCGAGUCUUUGAACGCACAUUGCGCCCCCUGGUAUUCCGGGGGGCAUGCCUGUCCGAGCGUCAUUGCUGCCCUCAAGCCCGGCUUGUGUGUUGGGUCGCCGUACCCCUCUCCGGGGGAACGGGCCCGAAAGGGAGCCGCGGGACCGCGUCCGAUCCUCGAGCGUAUGGGGCUUUGUCACAUGCUCUGUAGGAUUGGCCGGCGCCUGCCAACGUUUUCCAACCAUUUUUUCCAGGUUGACCUCGGAUCAGGUAGGGAUACCCGCUGAACUUAUCCAUAUCAAUAA
RNAcentral lists this ribosomal RNA (545 nucleotides) under Aspergillus tubingensis. Its description in RNAcentral is "eukaryotic LSU rRNA". The stretch from base 171 to 324 matches the Rfam family "5.8S ribosomal RNA". The record is from RNAcentral. Lineage: Eukaryota; Fungi; Ascomycota; Eurotiomycetes; Eurotiales; Aspergillaceae.